UACAGGGGGUGCAAACGUUGCUCGGAAUUACUGGGCGUAAAGGGCGCGUAGGCGGCCUGCUAAGUCGAACGUGAAAUCCCUGGGCUCAACCCAGGAACUGCGUCCGAUACUGGUUGGCUUGAAUCCGGGAGAGGGAUGCGGAAUUCCAGGUGUAGCGGUGAAAUGCGUAGAUAUCUGGAGGAACACCGGUGGCGAAGGCGGCAUCCUGGACCGACACUGACGCUGAGGCGCGAAAGCUAGGGUAGCAAACGGG
RNAcentral lists this ribosomal RNA (253 nucleotides) under uncultured bacterium. Its description in RNAcentral is "partial 16S ribosomal RNA". It matches the Rfam family "Bacterial small subunit ribosomal RNA", at positions 524 to 776 of the family's 1533-position model. The record is from RNAcentral.